CAUGUAGGCGGAUUAAUAAGUUUGAAGUGAAAUCCUAUAGCUUAACUAUAGAACUGCUUUGAAAACUGUUAAUCUAGAAUGUGGGAGAGGUAGAUGGAAUUUCUGGUGUAGGGGUAAAAUCCGUAGAGAUCAGAAGGAAUACCGAUUGCGAAGGCGAUCUACUGGAACAUUAUUGACGCUGAGAUGCGAAAGCGUGAGGAGCAAACA
Molecule: ribosomal RNA, 207 nt
Filed under: uncultured bacterium
Lineage: Bacteria
Description: partial 16S ribosomal RNA
Rfam family: Bacterial small subunit ribosomal RNA
Source: RNAcentral